Molecule: long non-coding RNA, 543 nt
Filed under: Rattus norvegicus (Norway rat)
Lineage: Eukaryota; Metazoa; Chordata; Mammalia; Rodentia; Muridae
Description: long non-coding RNA NONRATT003122
Source: RNAcentral
UGAUCUGCAGAUCGCUAUCGGCAGCUUUCAGCUUUUCUCUCCCCAUAAUCUGCUUCUUUAAGUCGCAGAGGGAGAUAUGGAGCCCAUCAAAGGUGACGGUGUCGUAGUUGAGUUUAGAGGAAAAUUUAUAGUGCACACAGGACAUUGUGGCAAAGGAUUCCUAAGGUUCAGCGAGGAGACGUGGACACUCUCAAUAUAUGUAUAUUUAUAAACUUAAGAGCAAAAUAUGUACACACACAAAACACUCAAAAGACAACGAAGGACCCUAAGGCCUCAGAUUAAAUACCCCCCAACCACAAGCGGGGGUUCGUGAGAACAAUAAUCCGGAACCCCCCCGUACUCAGAAUCGCUUCAUGAGGGAGGAGCAGGACGGGAAAAGGGGCAAUCGAGGAUCCGCCAACCGGCACAAUGUCACCCGGCUGGGUCCCACUCGCUCAUGCUAAGGGCCGGCAAGAGACCGGGGCAGGCGGUGCAGUCAGUAGCGGUCAGUCCACACGUUAGAGUCCGAAUGACCCCGCGGGGUCAGGGGUCCAUAGCGGCCGC